UACGAAGGGUGCAAGCGUUACUCGGAAUUACUGGGCGUAAAGCGUGCGUAGGUGGUUUGUUAAGUCUGAUGUGAAAGCCCUGGGCUCAACCUGGAAAUUGCAUUGGAUACUGGCAGGCUAGAGUGCGGUAGAGGAUGGCGGAAUUCCCGGUGUAGCAGUGAAAUGCGUAGAGAUCGGGAGGAACAUCUGUGGCGAAGGCGGCCAUCUGGACCAGCACUGACACUGAGGCACGAAAGCGUGGGGAGCAAACAGG
RNAcentral lists this ribosomal RNA (253 nucleotides) under uncultured bacterium. Its description in RNAcentral is "partial 16S ribosomal RNA". It matches the Rfam family "Bacterial small subunit ribosomal RNA", at positions 524 to 776 of the family's 1533-position model. The record is from RNAcentral.